Paramacrobiotus metropolitanus is the source of this 3032-nucleotide RNA transcript. RefSeq lists it as uncharacterized. The record is from RefSeq and is a predicted model, not a curated record. The transcript has 5 exons. Lineage: Eukaryota; Metazoa; Tardigrada; Eutardigrada; Parachela; Macrobiotidae.
CUCAUUAAUUUUACUGAUAGGCUUGGAUCGUUGUGGGCCUGUGGCAACAGUGAACAGUAUUUACGAGAAGAGUGUCUAAUAUCUGCAGAAUAUUUCAGAGAGGAAAAUAUAGAUUGUUCUCGCUGUUCAGGAAUACAAAGCGGAGGUUUUCUUUAUUGCGUAAGGCCAUUUUUCAGUGGCAAUAUUCGUGGAGGCGCAUGCAGAAUCAUAGAAUAAUUAGUGUUCUAGUGAUAAGCCUUCAUUCAGUACUCGGUUCUUAUACUUAGCUGCCGGGAAACUUUUUUAAGGAUCGCUCUUAGCUGCCCGACAGCAACCUUAUUCGAAACAUGUUCAAAAACAAGGUGUGGCUAUAUGGCGCGGUAGCCGUGCAAGACGACAACAAAUCCUUUCGUCAGGGAAUGAUAACCGAUGUUCUUCCAGUGGAGCGGAGCUUCAUUGUCGACUUCGAUUAUCCAGAUCAUCAUGCCGAAAUAGUGCCACUUGAUCGCUGUUUUGGUCCCAUUUCGCCUGAUUUCCAUGGGCUUGAUUCCUUUGCUCCCGGAGACUCCAUUGAAGUCCUAUGCCGCAGCCGCGAACAGGACGCCUGGCGCUGGACGCCGGCCAUCGUUAUUGCUGGAUCGAACGAAACCUUCGCUUUUGUGGAGAUGGAGCGCAAUGGAAAGACCGUCCGUCAGGUGGUAUCGCGACUACAUGUUCAAAACACGGCAGAAAGAGAGUCGAUAGAUUUCGGACGAUACCAACGAUACAGUGUGCAGCUGAGCCGACCGCUUUUGCAACUGGCUAGCGCGUGCAGCCAGGAGGAUUUGCACUGGUGGAAUCGCCGGCACGGGAGUGACUCACCGGCUUUGUUGGUGAAGAUUGAAGAGGGCUGUCUGAUUUAUAUUACCCGCGGCCCAAAGCCCCACUCCCGUUUCGCACCAGGGAAUUUCGAAGAACUGGCCGAAAUUUUCCGAAGAAUGGCUGACCGUUCACGUGGUAGCGAGAAUCCUCGGACAUCUGCACCCAAGGGUCGUCUACAUUGCGGUUUUGAGCAGGGCCAGAAAGAACCCGACACCGGCAUCCUUCCAGCGUGCAUCAACGCAAUUUUGCCGCCGGAAUCCAUUAGCCAUAUAUUUUCAUUUCUAGAGAUACGCGAUCGGAUACGGUGCCGUCUGGUUUGCAGAACGUGGCAGGACAUUUCCAUGUUGUGCGUACUACCUGUGAAAAUCGAAGUUUGUUCGUAUCUACCGGACGAUUUUGCCAUGGCAGUGGAUCAUUGCGUUACUCAUGGCACGAAGACGCUGAUUUUCCAAUGCUAUCACUGUCAGUGCGAGAGGGUGCAUCGUGCGCUUGAAACUCUAUUUAGUUUACUGCAAGUCAAAGACAUACGACUUAAAACAAUCGUUUUUUCCAAGUGCGAUGUGUGGGCCGACGAUAUUCUAGCCUUCUCCGACGCUCUUGUGCUGAAAUUUCGCUUGAAAUUGCACGGUAUUUGCGAUAUCCUGGUGCUGGACAAUGUGCGCGUGUGUGGGUUGCCUUAUGUGGACGCCGAGACAUGUCACUGCAUAUCAACACAAAAAACAGGCUUUUUUUGCGUCGAACAUAUUGGACCUGGCUGCGGACGUGGUGGUGGAGAAGUGCGUGAUUGCUAUCGGUAAUCAACUGCAAAUGGAAUCGGCGCUGGGCGUGCUGGAGAAGGGGUGUCCCCAUGUACGCUCAGAGCACCUUUCCUUGCUGCAAAGUCGACUGGAGAUCGGAGUCUUGACGACGGCUCUGUUCUAUGGGUGUUAAAGCAGUGGCAGGCCGGUGACCUAAGGUUUGCCAGAAUGUCACUCGACGCUGAUUUUCCCUGGGCAAAAGUACCGUUGGAAUCGCUGACGAAAUUGGCCAUCUUCAUCUUGCAGUAACAUGUGGCCGACAAUUAUCCCCAACGAGCCCCUUGUCAUAAAUAUUGAACAUAGAAACAAAAAUCUACAAGCAGUUUUUCAUCCUUCAGUGGCCACAUUACGAGCAUAGCAAAAGAGUAUCAUGAGCAUGUAGGUAUUGAUAAUUAGGAUAGAUACAUGGGAUUCUUAUUAAGAAAUUUGAGAAAGUGUUUUCUGUUGCUUGCGGGGGAUUCGACCAUGUUGUUCAUGGGCAGUCUGAGCAUCGCCGUGGCCGCAGAAGAAAACAAUCUAAGAGAGCAAUACCGAUGUGAAUAGAAUUUGUACAAUUCUCGACAAUCGGCUGUGUCCACCGACUACGGCCAUGAUCACGGCAUCGCUGAGACCGCCAUGCUAGAGCUAUUUCGACGUAAACGGACGGCUAAAAAACUGAGAACCUCUCGGAUAUUUUAACCGUCCUCGUGAUGUGCCGAGAACGGUUCAGCUGGCGCCACAGCUGGUACAUGUCCGCUAAAGGUCACCAACAGGUAAGGGUGACGCCUCAAAGAUAUACGUCUCCGCUGCACGUGGCGGUCAAUAUCUUGGUAAAAGGAUUUAACGAUACAUGAAUCAAUAAAUAUUAAUUUACCGCUUGUCUAAGUUCCGCUGAUGCUCCAUAGUAGUCGGAGUCGUUGAGCAGAAUGCAUUUAGAUGCAGACGAGUUGCGCUGCAUGUGAGGAAUGACCUGUGCGUGGCGUACGCGGCCAACAUUGGCGGCACGGCGGCGCUGACCGGCACGAACCAGCCGCACGAUGCCCAUUAUCGUCUCCAAGGGACAUACCAGCCACCGGCGUGAACUUUGCCACGUUUCUCUUGUUCUCCCUGCCGGGAAUGCUGCUGACGCUGAUCGUGGCCGUUAUCUGGCUGCAGUGGAUGUUUAUCAGCACAUGGGGCGUUGAUUGCCGCACUGCUGCAAAGGGUACUUUCUGUGCGUUUUCAGGAAAGAAACACGACGAAAUGACAAAAAAAAUCCUUAAAAAAAUCUGUAUGUUUUUGCAAACUACUUCUACACAAAAAAUCUGAAAACUGUAUAAUUCAACGGGAAAUUAUGAUUGUUUACCGUUGCUCAGUGUUAUUAUUCAAUCCGUCGCAAAAGAAAAAACACCCGAAAAUGGCUCGGCGUCGGACUGA